This 1237-nucleotide ribosomal RNA is filed under the name metagenome. RNAcentral's name for it is "bacterial SSU rRNA". It matches the Rfam family "Bacterial small subunit ribosomal RNA", at positions 198 to 1440 of the family's 1533-position model. The record is from RNAcentral.
AGGGUAAAGAUUUAUCGCUUCGAGAUGGAUCUGCGUCCUAUCAGCUUGUUGGUAAGGUAAUGGCUUACCAAGGCUAAGACGGGUAGCUGGUCUGAGAGGAUGGUCAGCCACAAUAGCACUGAGAUACGGGCUAUACUCCUACGGGAGGCAGCAAUUAGGAAUCUUGCACAAUGGGGGAAACCCUGAUGCAGCGACACCGCGUGAAGGAUGAAGGUUUUCGGAUUGUAAACUUCUUUUAUAGUCUAACAAGUUCUGAGUGGACUAUGAAUAAGCACCUGCUAACUGCGUGCCAGAAGCAUCGGUGAUGCGUGGGGUGCGAGCGUUAUCCGGAUUUAUUGGGCGUAAAGAGAAGCGUAGGUGUUUUGAUGUGUCUAUUGUUAAAUACUCCGGCUCAACUGGAGGUAUGCAAUGGAAACUGUCAAAAUCGAGGCAGAGAGGGGGAAAUAGAAUUCCCGGUGGAGCGGUGAAAUGUGUUGAUAUCGGGAGGAAUACCAGUGGCGAAGGCGAUUUCCUGGCUCUGUUCUGACACUAAGGCUCGAAAGCGUGGGUAGCAAAACGGAUUAGAUACCCGUGUAGUCCACGCCAUAAACGUUCCUCACUAGAUGUUGGGUGAGUUGACUUAUGGAACUUGUUUCUAUUUGUUAGCAAGCUCAGUGUCGUAGCUAACGCAUUAAGUGAGGCGCCUGGGAAGUACGGCCGCAAGGCUAAAACUCAAAGGAAUUGGCGGGGACCCGCACAAGCGGUGGAGCGCGUGGUUUAAUUCGAUGUAAUCGAAGAACCUUACCAAGGUUUGACAUAUAGCUGCUAAGCCUAUGAAAAUAGGAAUCCUUCGAGGGUGCUAUACAGGUGCUGCAUGGCCGCCGUCAGCUCGUGUCGUGAGAUGUAGGGUUAAGUCCCGAAACGAGCGCAACCCUUAUCCCGUGUUAUAUUUGUCUCGGGAAACUGCCUCGGUAAAACGAGGAGGAAGGUGGGGAUGACGUCUGGUCCGCAUGGCCUUUAUGCCUUGGGCUACACACGCGCUACAAUGGUCGGUACAAAGGGCUGCCAAGCUGUAAAGCGGAGCAAAUCCCAUCAAAACCGAUCUCAGUUCGGAUUGAGGUCUGAAACUCGACCUCAUGAAGUUGGAAUCGCUAGUAAUCGUGGAUCAGCCAUGCCGCGGUGAAUACGUUCUCGGGUCUUGCACACACCGCCCGUCAUGUCAUGAAAGCUGGGGGUACCCGAAGUUAUCGUGCCCUGC